RNAcentral lists this long non-coding RNA (3335 nucleotides) under Pan troglodytes (chimpanzee). Its description in RNAcentral is "long non-coding RNA NONPTRT003300". Lineage: Eukaryota; Metazoa; Chordata; Mammalia; Primates; Hominidae. The record is from RNAcentral.
AUUUAGGAUUGCUGUUGAAGGCUUCCUCAAGCAAACUCCAGCUUAAAGCCCUAGACAGGUAAAAGCAUACAUUGGAUGGCAGCAUGGGUUUCUUCCCAUUUUAUGGGCAUGAAAUAUGUGGUUUAGAAUAAGGAACAAGCAUUGUUCCUUUGCCAACAGCCUCACUCUAAGAGGCUUUUUUGCUGAGUCAAGCAAACACUUGCCUGCUCUGCCCCUUGGAGCUGCAUUUGACCUGCUCUCACUGGUAAGGUGACUUGGUGGCGUUCCCACUUGAUUUAGCCAUUUUCUUCCAUUGUGAGACCACUGCCAUCUAUCCACCUGCCCACCUCCCCUUUUGUUUCUCAGUAACAUUGCCAUUUGUUUUUUGCCUUUGAUAAACUGUGAUGUACUGUUCUGAGAUCUUUUGGGUGCAGUUCUGAAACUGAAAGGACUGUUAACAUGUUUUUAAUUUUAUAUCUAUGCUUUCAGACUCUUUGAUGAUAAUUUUUUUAAAAAAAAUUAUUCUCUCGAAGAGCAACUUACGAGAGGACAGCCUUAUGAGGGUUUGCUUGAGAGGCAGUGUGGCUUCUGUGACUGCCAGCUCUAAAUCUCGAUCUUGCCAUAACUUUACAGGGUAACUUGGGUCCACAGUCACUCUUUGUGCCUCAGUUUACCCACCCAUUAAAUGGGAACAUUACUGUCUUCCCCUCCCUACCUCAUGGGGAAUGUCUGGGAAGCUGGGGACAUUGCUAUGCAAAUGUGUGAAUCUUAGUCAUGGAUUUGAUUUUUAGUUCUCCCCAUACCCCCAUAGGCAAGGCCUUCCCCCAGAGUUCCUGCUUUGGAUCCAAAGCCUGAGAAUAGGCCAUUAUGGACCAUUGGCUCCCUAAAUCCCUCCUUGGCCUCUUGGACUGAGCCCCUCAGCCUUUCUUCUUACCCUUCAGAAAGGAGAGUUCUCUUUAGAUAUGUUCAGGGGGAUCUUUCCGUGGCUGGAGGUCACCUUGACUGGGAGCUUGGCUUCUCCAAACCUGAAACACAGUAGAAGAUAGAGAUGUUUAUGAUGCAAAAACCUGCUCUGAGGUCAGAAAGUGCUAGUUUUCCAAAUCUCUCCCAUUGCUGCUGGCUAUUUGGGGAAAGAAGAGAAAAGCCCAUUCCAGAGGCAGAAGGGAAGCUCCCAGCCGAGGGUAAAAGUUGAGACCUGUAUGCAUGUAUCUCUGUAUAUGUGUAUGUAAUCACCCUCAUCACCAUCCCUGAGAAAACAUUUCCUUUUCAAGUCAGAGCACGCCUGAAAGGGUUUGUGGAGAGCCCAGCUCACCAGGGACUCUGGUUGCCGUAGCAACCUUCCAGACUGUUCUCUCUAUCUUCUGCUUUGGGCAUCAAGGGAGACCAGGGGACUACAUCUUCCCAGCUUCUCAAAUGGGAGCACCUCCCACAUCGUGGCUUAGGGGCUGGGAGUGCCAGGGCACGGAUGUGGGACUUUUGGAAAAUGUGGAGGAAGCAGGGCCUCAAAGCUUCCUGUCUGGACUUUUCUUCCUAGUUUCCCCACCCAGUCAUUGAAGCUGCCUCAUCUUACUCCUGAUUCUUCAGAAAUUUGAAUGUUAAGCAACCAGUUAAACCAAUGUCAGUAUUAAUUUUUUCAAGCUGUCGAGGGGAGCCCUUAGAGGGGACAACUUCUCCUUGGAGUGGCGGCCAAGCUGGGCCUCACCAGGUGUGAUCAUAUAGUCUUAGAUAUCAUGGAGUUCCCGUCUCCACAGAGGCAGGCUCUUCCCAGCUCCACGAGAGGCGGAGAAUUGCAACUUCUUCCUCUCUGGGAACAGCCUAUCUAGCUCCUGGGAGGAAUCUCAAAGAUCUUUCUUCUUAAGACAUCAAAGAAAAACUGAGAGGCUGUAGCUCGACCUAGUUUCUGUGAAGAAUUUUGUCAAGUGAUCCCUCUCGGACCCUGAGCCUCUUUAGUUGGAUUUUGUGCCUUGAGCACCAAGAGAAUAUGCACUCUGGGUUGCCUGGACAGCUGGGGUGGUGAUUCACAGGAAGGGUCCAAGCCAUCACUACACCUGACUCAAGCCGGAAAGAGCACCCAGAGGACUUCCUGGAACUGCCAGCCUCAGCCUGAGAUGCGGGAUAUUCGUCCCCAAGGAGCGAGGAGGGACAGCUCGCCUUCUUUGCAGGUGAGGAAAAAUGCGGGCAGGUGGUGCAAGCAAGGACAUCUAUGCAUAGAAUUCUGACAGCAGCUGGACCCUCAACUUCUUCAGAAGACGAGACCCCUGCCUGGCACUGCUGGCAGGCAUCUGGCCUGACACCGCUCUGGAGGCCUCCCACAAGCAGCAACCAAGCCAGAAAAAGCUGAGACCAGACCCACUGUCCCUAAAGAUGGGGCCCAGAAUGUUGGGGUGAAGCUGUAGGAACAGGGUGAAAGCUGGUGGUGUGAGCAAAGAGACCAGCUAUGGGGUGGUCAGGGGAUUCCGGAAGGUGCAUGGUUAAUGUUGCAGACCCCCCCAGGACAAGGGUGGCUGUGGAAGAAUGGCAAAUAAACACAAGGCAAAGUCUCAGAGGCUGUGCAUUAUGCCAUGAGAAAACGUCGACGGCCAAGUUAGGCAGACAAGCCAAGCGGUCUCCACAAGAAUAGGCAGGGAUCCGAAAUUCAGAGCACCUGCAGCUUGCUGGGCAUCCUCACUACACAGGAGGAUGUGAUGGCCACACAUAGAUCACCAGGAAGAGGGCUUGAUCACCCUCUGCCAUGAGCCGGCCCACAGAUAGGGGACAUUCUGCAAGAAAGUAAGAUGCGUAACCCAUGAUCUAAGAGUUAACUGCCUCUGAUAGACACGCGAAUGGGCAAAUAUCAAGGGCAGAGUUAUUUUUUUACAUGGACUUCCCAGAGGCCAGAUGAUGCUGUGUGCGGGGUCUCCCAGGUACAGUAAGGACGUUCUUUCCAGUCACCCGCAUUGUUCUUGCAACUGACAGCUGUUCUCUCUUGGCCUGUCCUCAGUGGAAGGGGGUAAUGCUACUUCUUAACAAUCAAACAAGCCCUUGCACUCUUCUAGGAUGUCUGGUGGGGGACAUUCCCACUGCUAGUCACUCAUUCACGUAUCUUUUCCUCUUCCUGACAAAAUGAAGGACUAGGAUGAUUUUCUUGCGUGGAAUUUUGUUUCCUAAUGAGGUGUUGCUGGGGCUCCAGGUUGCUUUAAUGCCCACACCCUCCCAGAUUGUCCUGAGUGCUGGGGCUUCAUGACGUUGCUGCAGAAGUCUGGACAGCAGGGACCGUAGCCUUCGCCAUGUGUCUAGCAGAGCACCUGAUACAGAAUUGUCACUCAUACAAUGUGUGGUGAAUUAAUGAGUGAGGAAAUAAAUGAAGGAAGUGCUGG